RNAcentral lists this ribosomal RNA (801 nucleotides) under uncultured Verrucomicrobiota bacterium. RNAcentral describes it as "bacterial SSU rRNA". It matches the Rfam family "Bacterial small subunit ribosomal RNA", at positions 8 to 782 of the family's 1533-position model. The record is from RNAcentral. Lineage: Bacteria; Pseudomonadati; Verrucomicrobiota.
AGAGUUUGAUCCUGGCUCAGAACGAACGCUGGCGGCGUGGAUAAGACAUGCAAGUCGAGCGAUCGUUAACGGGUAGCAAUAUUCGUUAACGGGAGCGGCGCAAGGGUGCGUAACACGUGGGUAAUCUGCCGUGAAGUUUGGGAUAAUCCCGCGAAAGCGGGACUAAUACCGGAUGUGACCAUUGGGAGGCAUCUCUUGAUGGUUAAAGUUGGGGACCGUAAGGCCUGACGCUUCGUGAUGAACCCGCGGCCUAUCAGCUAGUUGGUGAGGUAACGGCUCACCAAGGCUAAGACGGGUAGCUGGUCUGAGAGGACGACCAGCCACACUGGAACUGAGACACGGUCCAGACACCUACGGGUGGCAGCAGUCGAGAAUUUUUCACAAUGGGCGCAAGCCUGAUGGAGCGACGCCGCGUGGGGGAUGAAUGGCUUCGGCCCGUAAACCCCUGUCAUUUGCGAUCAAACCUCAUUAUUUAAAAGAUGAUGAGUUGAUAGUAGCGAAAGAGGAAGGGACGGCUAACUCUGUGCCAGCAGCCGCGGUAAUACAGAGGUCCCAAGCGUUGUUCGGAUUCACUGGGCGUAAAGGGUGCGUAGGUGGUGGGGUAAGUCGGAUGUGAAAGCUCGGAGCUCAACUCCGAAAUGGCAUUGGAAACUACCCUGCUAGAGGAUUGGAGGGGGGACUGGAAUACUUGGUGUAGCAGUGAAAUGCGUAGAUAUCAAGUGGAACACCAGUGGCGAAGGCGAGUCCCUGGACAAUUCCUGACACUGAGGCACGAAAGCUAGGGGAGCAAACAGGAUUAGA